RNAcentral lists this ribosomal RNA (253 nucleotides) under uncultured bacterium. Its description in RNAcentral is "partial 16S ribosomal RNA". It matches the Rfam family "Bacterial small subunit ribosomal RNA", at positions 524 to 776 of the family's 1533-position model. The record is from RNAcentral.
UACGGGGGGGGCAAGCGUUGUUCGGAAUUACUGGGCGUAAAGGGCGCGUAGGCGGCCUGUUAAGUCGAACGUGAAAUCCCCGGGCUCAACCCGGGAACUGCGUCCGAUACUGGCAGGCUCGAAUCCGGGAGAGGGAUGCGGAAUUCCAGGUGUAGCGGUGAAAUGCGUAGAUAUCUGGAGGAACACCGGUGGCGAAGGCGGCAUCCUGGACCGGCAUUGACGCUGAGGCGCGAAAGCCAGGGGAGCAAACGGG